UCCUGUCCCAUCCCGGCAUGUCCCAUCCCGUCCCACCCCAGGCAGCACGGAAGGGGGAAGAGCGUCUGCCUGCCCCAGAUGGGGUCCCCUGGAGAGUCCUGGCUCCAGCCUGGCUUCUUUCCACGCGUUCCAGCCCGGGACCCUCAGCCUUACGCCAGGUYGGAAGGUAGCCAGGGAAUUCGCCGGGCUGGCGACGGCCAGCCCUUGGGAAGGUGCCGCAGGGCUGCGUCCUGCUCUGGAGUUCUCUUUCACAGGAGCGAUUUUGUUCGGGGUUUGGCAUCCGAGCGGCACGAAGCGGCCCCAGAAGGGGAGGAAGGCGGCUGGGCGCAGGCACGGGGCAGUGGCUUGUGCAAAACCGGUGGAGCAUAUUCCCACCGGCUAAACAAACGGAACAAAACAUCCCCGGCUAAACAAACUAACCCCCCCCCCCCCGCCCCCAGGGACCCACCUGGACCUCAGGAGAAGCAGCAGGAGGGAGUCAGACGAGAUGAGACGAGACGAGACGCCGGAGCGGCGGAGGAAGGCGGCAAACCCGGCAGAGACAGCGGAGUUGUCCUGGGAGGUUUCAGCCCGCGGGAGUUGUGACCGACGCACCACGACCCGAUGCUGCGAGCUGCCGCGCCGCGCGUCGGCCCCUCGUCCCCGCUGCCCGGUGCCGGGYGGGCGUCCCUCAAAACCUCCGAGGAAGAGGAACUCGGCCAGAGCGGCCCUCAGACAGAGUUAUCUUCCCAAMGGAUUUAUGGCGCGCUGAUUCGGGAACGCCGCAAAGCUAUGCUCGCCGUGUACGGCUCGGAGAGAAAAAAACCUCUCCAAGAAAACCUCUCGUCAACAGAUAACGCAAUAUGGUUCCGAUUUCCUAACCCCCUUCUAAAUAAUUGUUCCUUUUCUUUUUUUUAAAUUUUGUCCAAGGGAAACGUUUCUAAUCUAAUUGCCUGCCUGCACCUUCCUCGCUGCCUUUGAGUGCGUAUUAUCUUCCAGCCGUUACUCGGGAGCGGAGCGAGAAUUUUCGAUUUAAAAAAAAA
Molecule: long non-coding RNA, 1022 nt
Filed under: Apteryx haastii (Great spotted kiwi)
Lineage: Eukaryota; Metazoa; Chordata; Aves; Apterygiformes; Apterygidae
Description: lncRNA (ENSAHAG00000013350.1)
Source: RNAcentral